GGGGAUUUAGCUCAGCUGCAUAAGCGCCUGCCUUGAAAGCAGGCAGUCACGGGUUCGAUCCCCGGUACCA
This is a transfer RNA of Cavia porcellus (domestic guinea pig), 70 nucleotides long. It matches the Rfam family "tRNA". From Rfam's summary of the family: Transfer RNA (tRNA) molecules are approximately 80 nucleotides in length. Lineage: Eukaryota; Metazoa; Chordata; Mammalia; Rodentia; Caviidae. The record is from Rfam.